RNAcentral lists this long non-coding RNA (229 nucleotides) under Phoenix dactylifera (date palm). RNAcentral's name for it is "long non-coding RNA (PDAC_LNC013963)". Lineage: Eukaryota; Viridiplantae; Streptophyta; Magnoliopsida; Arecales; Arecaceae. The record is from RNAcentral.
AUCAUUUGCCUGCCUUGAAACAUUAUUUACAACUCUUUGUGAAAUUGUUAGAAUUAGAUUUUUUUUCUUCUUACAGGACCAAUUUUCAAAUAGCCAUUUAUGGAUUCUAGUGCAGAUUAACCUAGCACUUAGUGGUAGGCAUAGUUAGUUUUGCAUCCCUCCUUGCCUUUUCUUUGUGCUCUUGCAAACACAUUCUUGCUAGAUACAAUGCCUAGGUUGAACAUUGUUU